Molecule: long non-coding RNA, 1455 nt
Organism: Homo sapiens (human)
Lineage: Eukaryota; Metazoa; Chordata; Mammalia; Primates; Hominidae
Product: long intergenic non-protein coding RNA 1514
Source: Ensembl
AGGGUUUUACUCUGUUGCCCAGGCUGGGGUGCAGGGGCAUGAACAUGGCUCACUGCACCCUUGACCUUCUGGGCUCAAGCGAUCCUCUUGCCUCAGGCUUCUGUUUAGCUGGGGCCACAGGCGGGCACCAAAAUGCCUGGCUAAUUUUUUUGUUUUUAUUUUGGUAGAGACGAGGUCUCACUUUGUUGCCCAUGCUGUUCUCAAACUUCUCGGCUCAAGUGAUCCUCCCACCUCGGCCUCCCAAAGUGCUGUGUUACAGGCAUAAGCCACUGCACCUGGUCUCUACUUCGUUCUUACUCUUCUUCCCGACUCUGUGAUCAGCUCUUUUUCCUCACUGACAUCUCUUAUCACCAGCAGAGGCCUACCACUAGACACCAGUGGUUCUACUUCCCUGGUUGAGCCCUGGUAGAUACGGUUCCUGAGAACUUCAUGGAGCAGUUUCUGCACCAAACCUGCCCUCUCUACCUCUGGACCUCUACGUGGAAAAGAGAAGUCCGUAUUGGAAGCCUUGACUCUGGCCCAGACAUUUCUGCUGUACCUCAUGUAGGAAGGGAAGAAAUGUCGGAGGUGGCCUUCUCAGACCCUGUGAAGUGAAAGUGUCUAUCCAUCCAAUGAAAGCGUCUACUCAGACCAAGAGGUAUUUUAGUUUCCUGACUCGAAGCAGGUGAGCCCAGGACCUGCCACACUGUGCCAGCCUCGCCCAAGCCACCCCCCAGCCAGGACGCGGUCUUUCCUGACUCAGCAGGCUGAGGCACCUGAGGCUUUCAUUUUAAUUAUGAACCACUUCAAAGCCUUUCUGGAAGCAGUCUCUGCAAUAACCAACCUGGGUUCUCUCCUAAUGUGGGGAUUGUCCUGGAGCCCAGGCCUUCCAAGGCUCCUCCGCCCGCCAACAUCACCUACCUCAUCUUCCUCUUCAGCACAUCCCCAACAUUGUCUAAGCGGUAACUCACCUGAGCAAAGCACUUGACACGGAUUCAUUCAUUUACUCCUCACAACAACCUGAUGAGAGCACUGAUUAACUUCAAAGGGGAAAAACAAUAACCUUUACAAUGGAUAGAUCUGGCAGGAACCAUGUUAACCAAGUGAUCAAAGGUAGCAUCACCAAUAAUGGGGCAAACCGACAUCCUGUGCUUCCCCAUUGAUGCGCCGAGAAGGACACAGCAUUGCUCAUGCAGCAUCCUUGUCAAAAAUGCGUAAACGGAAUCUAAUCAUGAGAAAACUGCCAGACAGCCAAACUCUUCAGAAAUGUCAAUAUAAUGAAAGGCAACAAAGAUUGAGAAUAACUUUACCAGGUUAAAGAAAACUAAAAAGAUAUGACAACUGACUGCAACGCAGAAUCCUGGACCAGACCCUGGAUCUGGUCAAAAGAAAAAUGCUUUAAACGACAGUAUUGGGACAAAGGGUAAAAUUUGAAUGUGGAUCAUGUAAUAGAUGAAUAAUAUAUUGUAUCAAUGA